Molecule: unclassified non-coding RNA, 216 nt
Filed under: Hevea brasiliensis (rubber tree)
Lineage: Eukaryota; Viridiplantae; Streptophyta; Magnoliopsida; Malpighiales; Euphorbiaceae
Source: RNAcentral
UGACAAGCCAAACCAAAACCUGCGGGUAGAAACAAUGAGCAUUGUUCUUCAUUUUAUCCAAAAGUUCCAGAAGCACAGGAGCCUCUCUGAAAGCAAGGAAGCCAGGAAGAUAUGGAAUGUGAAGCCUAACAAUAGACGAAUCUUCAUAAACAACUUUCUGAGUCGUCAAGUCCAACACAACAAGAGUGCCACAGGCAAUAGAUGAAUCAUCUUUUG